GCGGUAAUACGGAGGGUGCAAGCGUUAAUCGGAAUUACUGGGCGUAAAGCGCACGCAGGCGGUCUGUCAAGUCGGAUGUGAAAUCCCCGGGCUUAACCUGGGAACUGCAUUCGAAACUGGCAGGCUAGAGUCUUGUAGAGGGGGGUAGAAUUCCAGGUGUAGCGGUGAAAUGCGUAGAGAUCUGGAGGAAUACCGGUGGCGAAGGCGGCCCCCUGGACAAAGACUGACGCUCAGGUGCGAAAGCGUGGGGAGCAAACAGGAUUA
RNAcentral lists this ribosomal RNA (264 nucleotides) under Klebsiella pneumoniae subsp. ozaenae. RNAcentral's name for it is "partial 16S ribosomal RNA". It matches the Rfam family "Bacterial small subunit ribosomal RNA", at positions 517 to 780 of the family's 1533-position model. RNAcentral also lists the same sequence under 1 other name. The record is from RNAcentral. Lineage: Bacteria; Pseudomonadati; Pseudomonadota; Gammaproteobacteria; Enterobacterales; Enterobacteriaceae.